RNAcentral lists this ribosomal RNA (392 nucleotides) under uncultured bacterium. RNAcentral's name for it is "partial 16S ribosomal RNA". It matches the Rfam family "Bacterial small subunit ribosomal RNA", at positions 523 to 918 of the family's 1533-position model. The record is from RNAcentral.
AUACGGAGGAUCCGAGCGUUAUCCGGAUUUAUUGGGUUUAAAGGGUGCGCAGGCGGCCAUUUAAGUCAGCGGUUAAAUCGUGGGGCUCAACCCCAUUCUGCCGUUGAUACUGGGUGGCUUGAUUGCGGUCGAGGUUGGCGGAAUUCGUUGUGUAGCGGUGAAAUGCAUAGAUAUGACGAAGAACACCGAUUGCGUAGGCAGCUGACCAGACCGCAAAUGACGCUCAUGCACGAAAGUGCGGGGAUCGAACAGGAUUAGAUACCCUGGUAGUCCGCACAGUAAACGAUGAAUACUUGUUUUCGGCGAUAUAAUGUCGGAGGCAAAGCGAAAGCGAUAAGUACUCCACCUGGGGAGUACGCCGGCAACGGUGAAACUCAAAUGAAUUGGCGGGG